RNAcentral lists this transfer RNA (86 nucleotides) under Pseudomonadota bacterium. Its description in RNAcentral is "tRNA-Leu". It matches the Rfam family "tRNA". From Rfam's summary of the family: Transfer RNA (tRNA) molecules are approximately 80 nucleotides in length. Their secondary structure includes four short double-helical elements and three loops (D, anti-codon, and T loops). RNAcentral also lists the same sequence under 1 other name. Lineage: Bacteria; Pseudomonadati; Pseudomonadota. The record is from RNAcentral.
GCCGGAGUGGUGGAAUUGGUAGACACGUCGGACUCAAAAUCCGAUGCCCUCGCGGCGUGCCGGUUCGACUCCGGCCUCCGGCACCA